GGUUAAGCGACUAAGCGUACACGGUGGAUGCCCCUGGCAGUCAGAGGCGAUGAAGGACGUGCUAAUCUGCGAUAAGCGUCGGUAAGGUGAUAUGAACCGUUAUAACCGGCGAUUUCCGAAUGGGGAAACCCAGUGUGAUUCGUCACACUAUCAUUAACUGAAUCCAUAGGUUAAUGAGGCGAACCGGGGGAACUGAAACAUCUAAGUACCCCGAGGAAAAGAAAUCAACCGAGAUUCCCCCAGUAGCGGCGAGCGAACGGGGAGCAGCCCAGAGCCUGAAUCAGUGUGUGUGUUAGUGGAAGCGUCUGGAAAGGCGUGCGAUACAGGGUGACAGCCCCGUACACAAAAAUGCACAUACUGUGAGCUCGAUGAGUAGGGCGGGACACGUGGUAUCCUGUCUGAAUAUGGGGGGACCAUCCUCCAAGGCUAAAUACUCCUGACUGACCGAUAGUGAACCAGUACCGUGAGGGAAAGGCGAAAAGAACCCCGGCGAGGGGAGUGAAAAAGAACCUGAAACCGUGUACGUACAAGCAGUGGGAGCACGCUUAGGCGUGUGACUGCGUACCUUUUGUAUAAUGGGUCAGCGACUUAUAUUCUGUAGCAAGGUUAACCGAAUAGGGGAGCCGAAGGGAAACCGAGUCUUAACUGGGCGUUAAGUUGCAGGGUAUAGACCCGAAACCCGGUGAUCUAGCCAUGGGCAGGUUGAAGGUUGGGUAACACUAACUGGAGGACCGAACCGACUAAUGUUGAAAAAUUAGCGGAUGACUUGUGGCUGGGGGUGAAAGGCCAAUCAAACCGGGAGAUAGCUGGUUCUCCCCGAAAGCUAUUUAGGUAGCGCCUCGUGAAUUCAUCUCCGGGGUAGAGCACUGUUUCGGCAAGGGGUCAUCCCGACUUACCAACCCGAUGCAAACUGCGAAUACCGGAGAAUGUUAUCACGGGAGACACACGGCGGGUGCUAACGUCCGUCGUGAAGAGGGAAACAACCCAGACCGCCAGCUAAGGUCCCAAAGUCAUGGUUAAGUGGGAAACGAUGUGGGAAGGCCCAGACAGCCAGGAUGUUGGCUUAGAAGCAGCCAUCAUUUAAAGAAAGCGUAAUAGCUCACUGGUCGAGUCGGCCUGCGCGGAAGAUGUAACGGGGCUAAACCAUGCACCGAAGCUGCGGCAGCGACGCUUAUGCGUUGUUGGGUAGGGGAGCGUUCUGUAAGCCUGUGAAGGUGUGCUGUGAGGUAUGCUGGAGGUAUCAGAAGUGCGAAUGCUGACAUAAGUAACGAUAAAGCGGGUGAAAAGCCCGCUCGCCGGAAGACCAAGGGUUCCUGUCCAACGUUAAUCGGGGCAGGGUGAGUCGACCCCUAAGGCGAGGCCGAAAGGCGUAGUCGAUGGGAAACAGGUUAAUAUUCCUGUACUUGGUGUUACUGCGAAGGGGGACGGAGAAGGCUAUGUUGGCCGGGCGACGGUUGUCCCGGUUUAAGCGUGUAGGCUGGUUUUCCAGGCAAAUCCGGAAAAUCAAGGCCGAGGCGUGAUGACGAGGCACUACGGUGCUGAAGCAACAAAUGCCCUGCUUCCAGGAAAAGCCUCUAAGCAUCAGGUAACAUCAAAUCGUACCCCAAACCGACACAGGUGGUCAGGUAGAGAAUACCAAGGCGCUUGAGAGAACUCGGGUGAAGGAACUAGGCAAAAUGGUGCCGUAACUUCGGGAGAAGGCACGCUGAUACGUAGGUGAAGCGACUUGCUCGUGGAGCUGAAAUCAGUCGAAGAUACCAGCUGGCUGCAACUGUUUAUUAAAAACACAGCACUGUGCAAACACGAAAGUGGACGUAUACGGUGUGACGCCUGCCCGGUGCCGGAAGGUUAAUUGAUGGGGUUAGCGCAAGCGAAGCUCUUGAUCGAAGCCCCGGUAAACGGCGGCCGUAACUAUAACGGUCCUAAGGUAGCGAAAUUCCUUGUCGGGUAAGUUCCGACCUGCACGAAUGGCGUAAUGAUGGCCAGGCUGUCUCCACCCGAGACUCAGUGAAAUUGAACUCGCUGUGAAGAUGCAGUGUACCCGCGGCAAGACGGAAAGACCCCGUGAACCUUUACUAUAGCUUGACACUGAACAUUGAGCCUUGAUGUGUAGGAUAGGUGGGAGGCUUUGAAGUGUGGACGCCAGUCUGCAUGGAGCCGACCUUGAAAUACCACCCUUUAAUGUUUGAUGUUCUAACGUGGACCCGUGAUCCGGGUUGCGGACAGUGUCUGGUGGGUAGUUUGACUGGGGCGGUCUCCUCCUAAAGAGUAACGGAGGAGCACGAAGGUUGGCUAAUCCUGGUCGGACAUCAGGAGGUUAGUGCAAUGGCAUAAGCCAGCUUGACUGCGAGCGUGACGGCGCGAGCAGGUGCGAAAGCAGGUCAUAGUGAUCCGGUGGUUCUGAAUGGAAGGGCCAUCGCUCAACGGAUAAAAGGUACUCCGGGGAUAACAGGCUGAUACCGCCCAAGAGUUCAUAUCGACGGCGGUGUUUGGCACCUCGAUGUCGGCUCAUCACAUCCUGGGGCUGAAGUAGGUCCCAAGGGUAUGGCUGUUCGCCAUUUAAAGUGGUACGCGAGCUGGGUUUAGAACGUCGUGAGACAGUUCGGUCCCUAUCUGCCGUGGGCGCUGGAGAACUGAGGGGGCUGCUCCUAGUACGAGAGGACCGGAGUGGACGCAUCACUGGUGUUCGGGUUGUCAUGCCAAUGGCACUGCCCGGUAGCUAAAUGCGGAAGAGAUAAGUGCUGAAAGCAUCUAAGCACGAAACUUGCCCCGAGAUGAGUUCUCCCUGACCCUUUAAGGGUCCUGAAGGAACGUUGAAGACGACGACGUUGAUAGGCCGGGUGUGUAAGCGCAGCGAUGCGUUGAGCUAACCGGUACUAAUGAACCGUGAGGCUUAACCUU
RNAcentral lists this ribosomal RNA (2901 nucleotides) under Shigella flexneri. RNAcentral's name for it is "23S ribosomal RNA". It matches the Rfam family "Bacterial large subunit ribosomal RNA". Lineage: Bacteria; Pseudomonadati; Pseudomonadota; Gammaproteobacteria; Enterobacterales; Enterobacteriaceae. The record is from RNAcentral.